AGUGAACGCUGGCGGUGGGCUUAACACAUGCAAGUCGAACGGCAGCACAGUAAGAUUUUGCUCUUCCCGGUUGCCAAUGGCGGACGGGUGAGGUAUAUAUCCGAAUCUACUUUUUCGUGUGGGUUCACGUAGCUAAACUUACUCUCAUACCGCAUCCCCCCCACCGGUGAAAGCAGUGGAUCUUUUGACCUUGCGCGGUUGAAUGAGCCGCUGCGGGAGUGGCUGGUGGGGGGGCUAAUGGCCCACGCAGUGGGCGAUCGGUUGCUGGUCUGAGAGAAUGGUCGGCCACAUGGGAACUGAGACAGCGUCAAGACUCCUGCGGGAGGCAGCAGUGGGGAAUGUUGGGCAAUGGGCGCAAGCCUGAUACAGCGGUACCGCGUGGGUGAAGGAGACCUUCGGGUUGUAAAGCCCUUUUGUUGGGAGAGAAAAGCAGCAGGUUGAUACCCCGCUGUUGUGACGGUACCCAAUGAAUAAGCACCGGCUAACUACGUG
RNAcentral lists this ribosomal RNA (492 nucleotides) under uncultured bacterium. RNAcentral describes it as "partial 16S ribosomal RNA". It matches the Rfam family "Bacterial small subunit ribosomal RNA", at positions 29 to 507 of the family's 1533-position model. The record is from RNAcentral.